UCAUACAAUAAUAUCAUUUCA
This 21-nucleotide non-coding RNA is filed under the name Caenorhabditis elegans. Lineage: Eukaryota; Metazoa; Nematoda; Chromadorea; Rhabditida; Rhabditidae. The record is from RNAcentral.